Non-coding RNA from Mycena leptocephala, 97 nucleotides. The record is from the annotation of a GenBank genome assembly. NCBI's taxonomy places the organism in Eukaryota, Fungi, Basidiomycota, Agaricomycetes, Agaricales, Mycenaceae.
GGCUCAGUGGCGCGUGGCGCGCAUCUGCAUAUCAUCCUCCUCUUCCAAAUGAGGUAAAUUGAGGCAGAUUUCGCCUGUUCGACUCAGGCCCGAGCCA